GGGACCCACAGUAAAGUGGG
RNAcentral lists this small nuclear RNA (20 nucleotides) under Arabidopsis thaliana (thale cress). RNAcentral's name for it is "snRNA_11169". The record is from RNAcentral. Lineage: Eukaryota; Viridiplantae; Streptophyta; Magnoliopsida; Brassicales; Brassicaceae.